RNAcentral lists this ribosomal RNA (497 nucleotides) under uncultured bacterium. Its description in RNAcentral is "partial 16S ribosomal RNA". It matches the Rfam family "Bacterial small subunit ribosomal RNA", at positions 28 to 507 of the family's 1533-position model. The record is from RNAcentral.
GAUGAACGCUGGCUGCGUGCCUAACACAUGCAAGUCGAGCGAACGGACGAGAAGCUGGCUUCUCUGAUGUUGGCGGCGGACGGGUGAGUGACACUUAGAUAACCUCCCUCUACGCCUGGGAUAAGUUCGAGAAACCGGAGCUAAUACCAGUUGAUAAUUUGAUCCGCAUGGUUCAAAAGAGAAAGACGGUCUUGUUGUCACUUAUAGAUGGAUCCGCGCUGCAUUAGCUAGUUGGUAAGGUAACGGCUUACCAAGGCAACGAUGCAUAGCCGAUCUGAGAGGGUGAUAGGCCACCCUGGAACUGAGACACGGUCCAGACUACUACGGGAGGCAGCAGUAGGGAAACUUACGCAAUGGGAGAAAGCCUGACGGAGCAACGCCGCGUGAGUGAUGAAGGUCUUCGGAUAGUAAAACUCUGUUAUUAGGGAAGAACAUAUGUGUAAGUAACUGUGCACAUCUUGAAGGUACCUAAUCAGAAAGCCACGGCUAACUACGUG